GGGACUAGCGCAGAAUACCAUGCAGUCGAGCGGAGACGAGAUAUCUGAACCUUCGGGGAACGAUAACGGCGUCGAGCGGCGGACGGGUGAGUAAUGCCUAGGAAAUUGCCCUGAUGUGGGGGAUAACCAUUGGAAACGAUGGCUAAUACCGCAUGAUGCCUACGGGCCAAAGAGGGGGACCUUCGGGCCUCUCGCGUCAGGAUAUGCCUAGGUGGGAUUAGCUAGUUGGUGAGGUAAGGGCUCACCAAGGCGACGAUCCCUAGCUGGUCUGAGAGGAUGAUCAGCCACACUGGAACUGAGACACGGUCCAGACUCCUACGGGAGGCAGCAGUGGGGAAUAUUGCACAAUGGGCGCAAGCCUGAUGCAGCCAUGCCGCGUGUGUGAAGAAGGCCUUCGGGUUGUAAAGCACUUUCAGUCGUGAGGAAGGUAGUGUAGUUAAUAGCUGCAUUAUUUGACGUUAGCGACAGAAGAAGCACCGGCUAACUCCGUGCCAGCAGCCGCGGUAAUACGGAGGGUGCGAGCGUUAAUCGGAAUUACUGGGCGUAAAGCGCAUGCAGGUGGUUUGUUAAGUCAGAUGUGAAAGCCCGGGGCUCAACCUCGGAAUAGCAUUUGAAACUGGCAGACUAGAGUACUGUAGAGGGGGGUAGAAUUUCAGGUGUAGCGGUGAAAUGCGUAGAGAUCUGAAGGAAUACCGGUGGCGAAGGCGGCCCCCUGGACAGAUACUGACACUCAGAUGCGAAAGCGUGGGGAGCAAACAGGAUUAGAUACCCUGGUAGUCCACGCCGUAAACGAUGUCUACUUGGGAGGUUGUGGCCUUGAGCCGUGGCUUUCGGAGCUAACGCGUUAAGUAGACCGCCUGGGGGAGUACGGUCGCAAGAUUAAAACUCAAAUGAAUUGACGGGGGCCCGCACAAGCGGUGGAGCAUGUGGUUUAAUUCGAUGCAACGCGAAGAACCUUACCUACUCUUGACAUCCAGAGAACUUUCCAGAAAAUGGAUUGGUGCCUUCGGGAACUCUGAGACAGGUGCUGCAUGGCUGUCGUCAGCUCGUGUUGUGAAAUGGUUGGGGUUAAGUCCCGCAACGAGCGCAACCCUUAUCCUUGUUUGCCAGCGAGUAAUGUCGGGAACUCCAGGGAAAC
This 1138-nucleotide ribosomal RNA is filed under the name Vibrio parahaemolyticus. Its description in RNAcentral is "bacterial SSU rRNA". It matches the Rfam family "Bacterial small subunit ribosomal RNA", at positions 39 to 1149 of the family's 1533-position model. Lineage: Bacteria; Pseudomonadati; Pseudomonadota; Gammaproteobacteria; Vibrionales; Vibrionaceae. The record is from RNAcentral.